CUACGGGGGGCAGCAGUAGGGAAUAUUGCGCAAUGGGCGAAAGCCUGACGCAGCGACGCCGCGUGAGUGAUGAAGGUCCUCUGGAUUGUAAAGCUCUGUAAGGAGGGAAGAACCGCCUGGUGUAACGGCCAGGUCUGACGGUACCUCCAAAGUAAGCACCGGCUAAAUAAGUGCCAGCAGCCGCGGUAAUACUUAUGGUGCGAGCGUUGUCCGGAAUGACUGGGCGUAAAGGGUGCGUAGGCGGACUUUCAAGUCAGGUGUGAAAUCCCCGGGCUUAACCUGGGAACUGCGCUUGAAACUGGAAGUCUAGAGUAUGUGAGGGGUUAGCGGAAUUCCCGGAGUAGCGGUGGAAUGCGCAGAGAUCGGGAAGAACACCGGUGGCGAAGGCGGCUAACUGGCACAUGACUGACGCUGAGGCACGAAAGCGUGGGGAGCGAACGGGAUAGAUACCCGGGUAGUC
RNAcentral lists this ribosomal RNA (460 nucleotides) under uncultured bacterium. Its description in RNAcentral is "partial 16S ribosomal RNA". It matches the Rfam family "Bacterial small subunit ribosomal RNA", at positions 339 to 795 of the family's 1533-position model. The record is from RNAcentral.